Molecule: ribosomal RNA, 1012 nt
Filed under: human gut metagenome
Description: bacterial LSU rRNA
Rfam family: Bacterial large subunit ribosomal RNA
Source: RNAcentral
CCCAGUAAACGGCGGCCGUAACUAUAACGGUCCUAAGGUAGCGAAAUUCCUUGUCGGGUAAGUUCCGACCUGCACGAAUGGCGUAAUGAUGGCCAGGCUGUCUCCACCCGAGACUCAGUGAAAUUGAACUCGCUGUGAAGAUGCAGUGUACCCGCGGCAAGACGGAAAGACCCCGUGAACCUUUACUAUAGCUUGACACUGAACAUUGAGCCUUGAUGUGUAGGAUAGGUGGGAGGCUUUGAAGUGUGGACGCCAGUCUGCAUGGAGCCGACCUUGAAAUACCACCCUUUAAUGUUUGAUGUUCUAACGUGGGCCCCUUACCGGGGUUGCGGACAGUGUCUGGUGGGUAGUUUGACUGGGGCGGUCUCCUCCUAAAGAGUAACGGAGGAGCACGAAGGUUGGCUAAUCCUGGUCGGACAUCAGGAGGUUAGUGCAAUGGCAUAAGCCAGCUUGACUGCGAGCGUGACGGCGCGAGCAGGUGCGAAAGCAGGUCAUAGUGAUCCGGUGGUUCUGAAUGGAAGGGCCAUCGCUCAACGGAUAAAAGGUACUCCGGGGAUAACAGGCUGAUACCGCCCAAGAGUUCAUAUCGACGGCGGUGUUUGGCACCUCGAUGUCGGCUCAUCACAUCCUGGGGCUGAAGUAGGUCCCAAGGGUAUGGCUGUUCGCCAUUUAAAGUGGUACGCGAGCUGGGUUUAGAACGUCGUGAGACAGUUCGGUCCCUAUCUGCCGUGGGCGCUGGAGAACUGAGGGGGGCUGCUCCUAGUACGAGAGGACCGGAGUGGACGCAUCACUGGUGUUCGGGUUGUCAUGCCAAUGGCACUGCCCGGUAGCUAAAUGCGGAAGAGAUAAGUGCUGAAAGCAUCUAAGCACGAAACUUGCCCCGAGAUGAGUUCUCCCUGACUCCUUGAGAGUCCUGAAGGAACGUUGAAGACGACGACGUUGAUAGGCCGGGUGUGUAAGCGCAGCGAUGCGUUGAGCUAACCGGUACUAAUGAACCGUGAGGCUUAACCUU